RNAcentral lists this transfer RNA (72 nucleotides) under Acidimicrobiaceae bacterium. RNAcentral's name for it is "tRNA-Gln". It matches the Rfam family "tRNA". From Rfam's summary of the family: Transfer RNA (tRNA) molecules are approximately 80 nucleotides in length. Their secondary structure includes four short double-helical elements and three loops (D, anti-codon, and T loops). The record is from RNAcentral. Lineage: Bacteria; Bacillati; Actinomycetota; Acidimicrobiia; Acidimicrobiales; Acidimicrobiaceae.
UCGGGGAUGGUGUAAUUGGUAACACAGCUGGUUCUGGCUCAGCUAUUGGGGGUUCAAGUCCUCCUCCCCGAG